RNAcentral lists this ribosomal RNA (399 nucleotides) under uncultured bacterium. Its description in RNAcentral is "bacterial SSU rRNA". It matches the Rfam family "Bacterial small subunit ribosomal RNA", at positions 64 to 507 of the family's 1533-position model. The record is from RNAcentral.
GAGCGCUCGUAGCAAUACGGGAGCGGCAGACGGGAGAGUAACACGUGGGAACGUACCUUUCGGUUCGGAAUAACCCAGGGAAACUUGGGCUAAUACCGGAUACGUCCGUAAGGAGAAAGAUUUAUCGCCGAAAGAUCGGCCCGCGUCCGAUUAGCUUGUUGGUGGGGUAAUGGCUCACCAAGGCAACGAUCGGUAGCUGGUCUGAGAGGAUGAUCAGCCUCACUGGGACUGAGACACGGCCCAGACUCCUACGGGAGGCAGCAGUGGGGAAUAUUGGACAAUGGGCGCAAGCCUGAUCCAGCCAUGCCGCGUGGGUGAUGAAGGCCUUAGGGUUGUAAAGCCCUUUCGGCGGGGAAGAUAAUGACGGUACCCGCAGAAGAAGCCCCGGCUAACUUCGUG